RNAcentral lists this long non-coding RNA (345 nucleotides) under Vigna radiata. RNAcentral's name for it is "long non-coding RNA (VRAD_LNC013660)". The record is from RNAcentral. Lineage: Eukaryota; Viridiplantae; Streptophyta; Magnoliopsida; Fabales; Fabaceae.
AAAAGGUUAAUGUCUCGGUCCCACAAAAUAUCCACCGAAACAAAAACUAAUUAUAUUUUUGGUAUCUAAAAGAAUUUAAGUGAUUUUGUUUUAAUUUUUUUUUUCAAAGUUUUGGUUCUUUUUUCAAAUUUUAUGAAAUUAUUUUUAAACUAUUAAUGGUGUUAAUGUUUAUUUUAACGUGACAAAUGGUAAUUUCAGUAUUUCGUUUCGAUAUGUGGUCAAUUAUUUCAUUUAGAAAUAUUUUUUAGUUUUUAUUUCAUCUUUUUUUUUCAAAUAAGUGUUUCUUUUCCAAAUUUCUACCUUGUUCUCCGACAUUCAUCUAGAUCAAGAGAUUUCUUCUCCCAA